GAAUUGCAGGAUGGGAGACUGUCUGUUGCACCCAAAUCCUGCUUGUGGGCUUCUCAGUGUGGCAUCUGGUUAGCCACAGUGAGAACGGGAUGCUGGACACGAGGGGCCUUUGGCCCAAUCCAGCAAGCUCCUCCUUGUGUUUUUUGGACUUCCCUAGAUUUGUAAGUCCUUUGCGACACAGUGAACCUAACUUGUGCAAACUUUUUUUUUUAACAAUUCAGAACUUUCCUGCUGUGAGUAUAAAUCUCCAUAUGAAACAUUAAGCCAUGUCACCAUCAUUGAGAAGGUCGUUCUGUAUUUGGUGUCCCUGCUCUCCUGACAGAUACUUCACUCAGUUGCUUUAACUUCUGUGUUCUAUUGUUGGCGGGGUGAGAAGCUGCCUAGAUGUUACCUUGGGAUCCGUGUUGAGUUUACCUGUCAGUUAAACCUGGUUGAAUUUCACAUAUUUUAGGAAGGCAACAUUCAUAAGUGUAAGUUGGGAGGGGAAAGAUGGAACACCGCAAGUCGCAAUGCAUAUUUAUGCCCUUUCGCAGCGGGAGUUUUGGCAAAGUGUUGCUCCUGCUGUUAAACAUGGUGACCUUGUUGCCUGUGAUUUACUAACUGUUUCACAAACAUUUCCUCACUCUGUGUGGCUUGAUAUAUUUUCCGGCCUCAACAUCUCGGCAGAGGCUCCUGUCCAAAGCCAAACCAGCCUUUGUUUACAGCUUUUCCGGAAACUUUUUUUUUUUUACAAAGGAGAAGCUUUCUCCUCUUCCGGUGCUCUAUUUUUUAAGUCAACACUUCUUGUUGGAUUAUUUGUGCAAACGAGCCAUUUGGGUACAAGGUAUCACUGUGGAUCCAAGUGGAAACAGCUCCUUUUCUAAAAAUAACACCAGGGUCGUGUGAACCAGCUCAGAAACAUCAAGACACAUGGACUUUUCAAGGACCUUUAUGUUUGCUGGUUGAUUUUUUUCCAUAAUAUUCUGGGCCUGGGUUUUUUCUUAAUAUUUAAUUCCCACAUUGGUGUCUCUAGAAUAGAACAUGGAAGUUAAAGGGCUGAAAAAACAGGAAGGAGCCCUUCAAGGAAUCACAUAUAUCAAUGUUAAAAAUAACAGCCUCCUUUUGCCCCAGUGUGUGUGAUUUUCUUCUAAAAUAUUUGUUUAGAAGACUUCUAUGGAAAUGUGUGCCAAGGUCCAGCAUGGCAUCUCGGAGCUAUUCAGGACUUUGUACAGACAAUACAGACAACUUAUAGAAGUCAACCAGGGUUGGAUUUUCUGGUGGGUGCGUGUCAAACCAGUCCAGCAGAUAAAUUUCUAAAUCAGUUCCCAGUACUUGUGUGAGUUGUGAUUCAACAAGGUCAGCAGGUCUAUUGAGUGUUAUAUACCUGAUGGCAGGAUCAAAUCACAGUCUGGGGUAAGCUGUCAGUGGCUAAGUGCGGGUUGUAGUUUAGAAGAAGACAACCCAUGAGCUUGGGUUUGGAUGACACACUAAGGGAAACCAUGGCUCAGCUCAUAGCAGCAGGAGGACCAAGAAGGCCACAGUCUCCUCUCUGGGAUCCUGGUGUUCCUUCUGCUAUGUCUCUGUGGUUAUCAAAGGACAUGCUUGCACCUACCCACUCCCAACAGCUGUAGCUUACGCCAGUAUAAUUUCAGACAGUAAAGUGCUUCUCUUCAGCACUUUCAGUGCAAGGGAGAGUAAACUUAACUCCAGUUCACUUACGUGCUUCUGCAUCCUCUGUUGGGACGAAGUCUUUCACUACUCACUUUUUAAGGCUGGCAUAAAUAACUGCUGUUUGAGAUAAUGGUUUUUUAAUGUUACCCCCCUUUUUUAAUUUAACAGGAUUUAUAUACCUUUAAUAGGCACAAACCUCUAAGCUGCUUACCUAAUGCAAUAGAAAAUACCCAUUAAAAAUACUGAUAAAACCAAACAGUUUAGCCAAAAACAUUUCAAAAUAUAAGCAGUAAUAAAAUAAAAUUAUAGGUUAAAAUUACAUGUCUGGGUAGGCUUACCUGGCCAGUUUCUUUUUUGAGCAGGCCCUGAAAACAAUACAGCAAAGGGCCCUGCCUAAUAUAAAUAGGCAAGGAGUUCCAGAGAGUAGCUGCUAGUGCCACACGGAAGGGUGGAUUCCUUGCUAAGUGCAAAAUGAACUGUGGCGCUUGCAAAAUGUGACGCUUUCUAUACCCUCUGCUGCUGCUGCAGCUGCUGCUUUAGAUCGUGAGCCUGCUGGAAAUAUGGCACUAUUCCGCUCGAUAAUCUUGGGGAGGGUUUUAAUGGGAGCAGUUGCCACAAUGAGGAAAUUCAGAGGUUCGGCCUUUUCUUUUGAUGGUUGUUCCAGCGAUCCAUCUUUGCAAGCAGACAGGAAGCAGAGAAGACUAAUGUUGGGCAGAUGACAUAUCCUUGAAUUCAAGUUUGCUGGCCUUUGGGAUACGCGAGAAGCUCUGGCGAGCAUAGAGGCUACAUUAUGUCGGUCGCUUGCUGUAAGCCCGAGAAGUGAUUAAGAUGCUGGCACUAAAUAAAAACUGGCUAUUGAAGAGCCCCUGCCCCGAGGACCUAAUUCCAGAUCAAAUUUUGCAGCCCGCGCAGGAACAAUGGAGGUCCAGUACUCUCUCCUCUCCCUUUUUGUCACGUUGCACAAAGGCAGCCCCUGAAAGUCUUUUGAGAGACAAUGGGCCCCUCUGGAUACGAAGCCCAGCCCAAAAGAGGAGUGGGGGAGCAGGAACAGGGAGAGGAAACGGUACAAAAACACAUUUUAAAAAUACAUUUUGCACUGCCCUUGACAUUUGGAAUAAAGAAGAACCUGGUGUGUGGAAAUCCCAUCUGCCCUUUUGCCACGGGGCGUUGUGUCUUCCACUGCUGCCGCCACCCCCUGGCUCCCAAGUCUCUAGUCAACUUGAUCCUUUGACAUCCUGACUCCUCUUUGUAAAGAAGAGGAAUACAGAUAGAUAGGCAGAACAGACAGAUACAAAGAUCAUUAAUGUUUUAGUAAAAGAAUUGCUGUCGUGAUGAAGGCAAUAAUGCAGGACAGCUUUGUGAGCCUGGACACCUUAUGACGCCUGCUGGAUUAGACCAAAAGCCCAUCUAGCCUAGCAUCUUGUUGUCCUGGUGACCAACCAGAUAUCUCAAAGGGAAGCCCCCAGGCAGCACCCGAGCACAGCAGCACACUCCCCACUUGUGAUUCUCAGCAGCUGGCACUUAUAGGCACACUGCCUCCGACCCCUGGAGGUGAAGCAUAGCCAUCAAGGUCCAGCAUUGACUCUGGUUGGGGGUAUCUCCCCAGGGGUUCCAAAGCCUGACACCUCAUUCUUUCAAAAGUGAAAAUGUCAGGGGUUGAACCUUGGGCUUUUGUGCUAAGCAUGUGCUUACCUCCAAGCUCUCACCUGUACCUGUCCUUUAUAGAGUGAACUGUCCUGAAUUAGCUGUGAUUUCCCUGUAUUUUGUGGUUUUGUUUUCCGCUACAUUUCUUCCAUGUGGCUUCUGAUAUAAUGUGCUGAAUUCCUCCUCCUUCCUUAACCUCCCCCCC
This 3499-nucleotide long non-coding RNA is filed under the name Podarcis lilfordi (Lilford's wall lizard). The record is from RNAcentral. Lineage: Eukaryota; Metazoa; Chordata; Lepidosauria; Squamata; Lacertidae.